UCUUUGUUCCUUAUGUUGCAA
This is a non-coding RNA of Caenorhabditis elegans, 21 nucleotides long. Lineage: Eukaryota; Metazoa; Nematoda; Chromadorea; Rhabditida; Rhabditidae. The record is from Ensembl.